CCCUUAGAUGUUCUGGGCUGCACGCGUGCUACACUGAUAUUGCCAACAUGUCAUUCUUAUCCGAAAUGGAUUGGGUAAUCAAGUAAUGAAAUUUCAUGCUUGGAAUCGGUAAUUGCAAUUUUAUCGUGAACGAGGAAUUCCUAGUAAGCACUAGUCAUCAGCUAAUGUUGAUUAUGUCCCUGCCCUUUGUACACACCGCCCGUCGCUACUACUGAUUGGGUGUUCAAGUGAGAUGCUUAGACCCUUGUUGCAUGGUUCAUUAUUGUGCUCCGAAAGGAAAAAGUUUCAAGCUUGAGUGUCUAGAGGAAGUAAAAGUCGUAACA
This 323-nucleotide ribosomal RNA is filed under the name uncultured eukaryote. Its description in RNAcentral is "partial 18S ribosomal RNA". It matches the Rfam family "Eukaryotic small subunit ribosomal RNA", at positions 1470 to 1796 of the family's 1831-position model. The record is from RNAcentral.